This 253-nucleotide ribosomal RNA is filed under the name uncultured Bacteroidota bacterium. Its description in RNAcentral is "uncultured Bacteroidetes bacterium partial 16S ribosomal RNA". It matches the Rfam family "Bacterial small subunit ribosomal RNA", at positions 524 to 776 of the family's 1533-position model. The record is from RNAcentral. Lineage: Bacteria; Pseudomonadati; Bacteroidota.
UACGAAGGUCCCAAGCGUUAUCCGGAUUUAUUGGGUUUAAAGGGUGCGUAGGCGGAUUAUUAAGUCAGUGGUGAAAGCCUGCAGCUUAACUGCAGAAUUGCCAUUGAUACUGAUGAUCUUGAGUAUGAUUGAGGUGGGCGGAAUGUGUCAUGUAGCGGUGAAAUGCUUAGAUAUGACACAGAACACCGAUUGCGAAGGCAGCUCACUAAGUCAUAACUGACGCUGAUGCACGAAAGCGUGGGGAGCAAACAGG